This 557-nucleotide ribosomal RNA is filed under the name uncultured bacterium. RNAcentral's name for it is "bacterial SSU rRNA". It matches the Rfam family "Bacterial small subunit ribosomal RNA", at positions 102 to 694 of the family's 1533-position model. The record is from RNAcentral.
ACGGGUGAGUAACGCGUGGGAACAUACCUUUUGGUUCGGAACAACACAGGGAAACUUGUGCUAAUACCGGAUAAGCCCUUACGGGGAAAGAUUUAUCGCCGAAAGAUUGGCCCGCGUCUGAUUAGCUAGUUGGUGAGGUAACGGCUCACCAAGGCGACGAUCAGUAGCUGGUCUGAGAGGAUGAUCAGCCACAUUGGGACUGAGACACGGCCCAAACUCCUACGGGAGGCAGCAGUGGGGAAUAUUGGACAAUGGGCGCAAGCCUGAUCCAGCCGUGCCGCGUGAGUGAUGAAGGCCCUAGGGUUGUAAAGCUCUUUUGUGCGGGAAGAUAAUGACGGUACCGCAAGAAUAAGCCCCGGCUAACUUCGUGCCAGCAGCCGCGGUAAUACGAAGGGGGCUAGCGUUGCUCGGAAUCACUGGGCGUAAAGGGUGCGUAGGCGGGUCUUUAAGUCAGGGGUGAAAUCCUGGAGCUCAACUCCAGAACUGCCUUUGAUACUGAAGAUCUUGAGUUCGGGAGAGGUGAGUGGAACUGCGAGUGUAGAGGUGAAAUUCGUAGA